UCGGUCUGUCACCAGGGCUCGACCAGUCUCCCCCUGAUACGCCACAAUUAUGACGACAUUUUGUGAAGUUUUUGUUCGUUAUGGUGUUCGGCGAGGGUUUUGACGGCUGUUCCUGCACACUACAUUUUGUUCUGGAGUAUAUGCCCCUUCGUCCUUGAUUGGUCAACUGUAAGGGUGACGUACAUUUCUUCUUCUUCAGCCCGAAACUCAUAGGUGGCGGCAACACACCCGGUGUAGUCUACCAUACAACUUUAAAGAAGAAGAAGCCCUAAACUCAGUGUGUAUUCAACAUGGCGAACAACAACUUCAAGCAUAAAAAACAACAACUUCAAGCAUCGAUUUACCGAGGAGGGACAGAAGUACCUUAACCACUAUAAUUAUAGCCAUGCAUUAUAUAAAGAACAGCAUGUAAAUGCCAAUUAAUGGAGGGUGAUUGCGGAAACGCUGGGGUCCAAUCCAAUCACUUGUUUGAAAAAGUGGGGUAUGGUUCGCAACAAGUUUGUCAAGGCAAAGAAAAGAAAAGAAACAAGGGCCACAGUGGAAAUGCUUGUGGAAAAGCUACUACAGAAAUGUUGCUGCGGGCUUGUUCAGCACGGGAAGACUGAAAGCAACAUGAUGUCUUCACCAAAGGAUGAGAGGCACAAACACCAGUGAAUGGAGACAUCACCUGGUUUUGUUCUCUGCGCCCCAGCACUGUCUGUUCACCGGCCCCAAACACUACCUCUCCAGACACUCUUAAUUCCCUCUCCGCAGGGCCCUGGCACCUACAGCUGACUUCAUGGAUGAACUCUUGCCAAAACUCUGGGAGAAACUUGAUCACCAGCUGCAAGACAAGAGGAGGACGUGGUCUGAACAACUGGGACUACAGUGAAAUUAAGUUUGGUUGUUGUUCAGACAUCUCAGAAGUUAAACACAUUUGUUUCCAUAGACACUUGUUUACAUGUCUGUUCUCAGCAGACACUUUUGUACUGUGGCUUACUUUCGGAGCCCAGAAGCAAGAAUAAAGGUUUUAUUUAUGUGUGCUGAAAAA
Molecule: long non-coding RNA, 1030 nt
Organism: Oncorhynchus masou masou (cherry salmon)
Lineage: Eukaryota; Metazoa; Chordata; Actinopteri; Salmoniformes; Salmonidae
Exons: 2
Source: RefSeq, a predicted model, not a curated record